CAACACGUACGUAGUCUGGUUGUUAAGGUGAGAGGAGACGACAACACGUACGUAGUCUGGUUGUUAAGGUGAGAGGAGACGACAACACGUACGUAGUCUGGUUGUUAAGGUGAGAGGAGACGACAACACGUACGUAGUCUGGUUGUUAAGGUGAGAGGAGACGACAACACGUACGUAGUCUGGUUGUUAAGGUGAGAGGAGACGACAACACGUACGUAGUCUGGUUGUUAAGGUGAGAGGAGACGACAACACGUACGUAGUCUGGUUGUUAAGGUGAGAGGAGACGACAACACGUACGUAGUCUGGUUGUUAAGGUGAGAGGAGACGACAACACGUACGUAGUCUGGUUGUUGAGAGGAGACGACAACACGUACGUAGUCUGGUUGUUAAGGUGAGAGGAGACGACAACACGUACGUAGUCUGGUUGUUAAGGUGAGAGGAGACGACAACACGUACGUAGUCUGGUUGUUAAGGUGAGAGGAGACGACAACACGUACGUAGUCUGGUUGUUAAGGUGAGAGGAGACGACAACACGUACGUAGUCUGGUUGUUAAGGUGAGAGGAGACGACAACACGUACGUAGUCUGGUUGUUAAGGUGAGAGGAGACGACAACACGUACGUAGUCUGGUUGUUAAGGUGAGAGGAGACGACAACACGUACGUAGUCUGGUUGUUAAGGUGAGAGGAGACGACAACACGUACGUAGUCUGGUUGUUAAGGUGAGAGGAGACGACAACACGUACGUAGUCUGGUUGUUAAGGUGAGAGGAGACGACAACACGUACGUAGUCUGGUUGUUGAGGAGACGACAACACGUACGUAGUCUGGUUGUUAAGGUGAGAGGAGA
Molecule: long non-coding RNA, 846 nt
Organism: Oncorhynchus keta (chum salmon)
Lineage: Eukaryota; Metazoa; Chordata; Actinopteri; Salmoniformes; Salmonidae
Exons: 9
Source: RefSeq, a predicted model, not a curated record